AUAACUUACAUUAAAAUGUUGUAACUUCAACUGAAUAGAGAACAAUAGAGGUACGCCCUAAAACCGUUAUUAUUCAGUGCAUUAAAUACCUUGAACGGUAAGACACGUCUGCUUGCGUCUUGAUCCACUCGGGUAAACAUUGAAGGAACAAAUAUAGCAGGCUUCGUCUGCCCAUGUUACGUUCUUCACGGUAAUAGACGUUGAGUUGAGAGAUGCUUCCGUGAAAACCACCUUGCCUCGGUGCGGGUCUAUGAUUUGAGCUCCAAACCGCUUGCUGUAGGUGGCCAGAUUCUCCACCGAGUCGUCUUUGAACAGCCUCUGCCAGGUGACUUGCAGCACACCUGUCGGGUCCGCAUGAGUGCAGGUAUAUGAUGCGUCGGCAUUGAAGUCAACCCUGGUGUCUCCUCUAGCUACGACGUUGACAGAGACCGCUACAAAAGGAAGAAGGCAAGUUAACAGGACAAAUCUUACCUUCAAAGGCUGUGCACACACACCACACCAGCAGAAGCAGAGAAAGCCUGAAUGCACGUCUUCCACACAUACUGACCCACUGCAGAACCAGACGUUGGUCCAAUAUGUUCUGCUCAGACCGACGGCAGAACAAAAGGCAAACCAAAGUGAUGGUCCUUUGACAGGGGCUAUGCAGUGCCACCACUACAUAUAAUAAUAAACUACGUGUCAAGAGUUCCACUUCCUGCUCCAGCAACAAUGACAGAUGAUAGAUACCACCACAAGACCGAGUCCAGGUUAAUAACAGGAAACUUAUCAAGUGCUAUGUUUCUGUUAUUAAUAAUUCAUUUGAAAUGAUUACCUUAAUAAAUGCCCUAUUGACACAUACAGCAGAGCAAUACAUUAUUUGAAUUUAAGGGAGUUUGUGAGAGGGCGUGAGAGGAUUUUGCACAAGUAUAUGUGUACUGUGGCACUGCUGAGUGCUGAUGUACAUUUUACUGAUCAAUACCCAUUUUAUUAGCAUCACAUUUAGGCUA
Oncorhynchus gorbuscha (pink salmon) is the source of this 986-nucleotide long non-coding RNA. RefSeq lists it as uncharacterized. The record is from RefSeq and is a predicted model, not a curated record. Lineage: Eukaryota; Metazoa; Chordata; Actinopteri; Salmoniformes; Salmonidae. The transcript has 3 exons.